Molecule: ribosomal RNA, 612 nt
Filed under: uncultured bacterium
Lineage: Bacteria
Description: bacterial SSU rRNA
Rfam family: Bacterial small subunit ribosomal RNA
Source: RNAcentral
CCUACGGGAGGCAGCAGUGGGGAAUAUUGGGCAAUGGAGGAAACUCUGACCCAGCGACGCCGCGUGCGGGAUGAAGGCCUUCGGGUUGUAAACCGCUUUCAGUAGGGAAGAAGCGAAAGUGACGGUACCUACAAAAGAAGCACCGGCUAACUAUGUGCCAGCAGCCGCGGUAAUACAUAGGGUGCAAGCGUUGUCCGGAAUUAUUGGGCGUAAAGAGCUCGUAGGUCGUUUGUUACGUCGGAUGUGAAAACCUGAGGCUCAACCUCAGGCCUGCAUUCGAUACGGGCAAACUAGAGUUUGGUAGGGGAGACUGGAAUUCCUGGUGUAGCGGUGGAAUGCGCAGAUAUCAGGAGGAACACCAAUGGCGAAGGCAGGUCUCUGGGCCAAUACUGACACUGAGGAGCGAAAGUCUGGGGAGCGAACAGGAUUAGAUACCCUGGUAGUCCAGACCGUAAACGGUGGGCACUAGUUGUGGGAACCUUCCACGGUUUCUGCGACGCAGCUAACGCAUUAAGUGCCCCGCCUGGGGAGUACGAUCGCAAGAUUAAAACUCAAAAUGAAGUUAAGUACGGCGUUGAGACGUUGCCGAACGGACGACGACGAGGGAGGAGG